Zingiber officinale is the source of this 924-nucleotide long non-coding RNA. RefSeq lists it as uncharacterized. The record is from RefSeq and is a predicted model, not a curated record. NCBI's taxonomy places the organism in Eukaryota, Viridiplantae, Streptophyta, Magnoliopsida, Zingiberales, Zingiberaceae. The transcript has 3 exons.
GGGAUCGAUCGACCGGUUCGGAUAAAGCCUGUUUGGAUACCCGUUUAAGGGAGGAAAUGUUUUAUUAAAUAAUUCUUUUCUUUUAUUUCCCCCCCCAAAUCGCCGUUUUCCCCAAACACUGCCGAUCCCGACCCUCUCUUCCCCGACUCCUCUCUGCCCUAUCCUCGUCUCUGCUCCGACGAGGCCGACACCAAGGAGUAGAUCGCCGGCAAUAAUCUUCCUCUUCCGAGCUCCGUCGAACUCAAGCGCGGGCCUUUCCCUCGCGUUGCCCUCGGUUGCUAUGGCCGACAUCAGAUGCCAACCAACGAGCCGAGCCUCUCUCGCGUGGACGACACGACGCCGAUGAUCGCCAGUGUAGACCUAUCCUCGGAGCUUGUCGGAGAUCAAUUAAGGAGGCACGGCUCAUCUUGAUUUUCUCUUCUCAACCCUUCCCUGAUCUUGCCUCCCGGUUCUGCCGAUCCUUUCUUCCCCGAUUCGAUCGCCGGCUUGAAGAUGCCCUAGGGUUUCGAAGGUCACGGUUUUGGAGAAGUUGGUAUCAGGGAGGUGUUGUUGGAUUAGGGGAAGGAAUCGAAUCAGACUUGUGCUAGGUUUUCCCUGAUCAGAUUGGUCAUCUUCUUGUGGUUUGUAAUCGAUCAGUGAUGAUCUUCCGAUUGGGUGACUUCUUCUGGAGAUGACCUUUAGAGAUCAGCUUCUUUGCUGUGUUUGAGGUAUCAGCUGAAGUGGGGAAGAAUUCCAGUAGGGCUAGCUGUGAUUCCAUUGAUCCAGCCAGGAAAAUUCCUCUCACUGUGCUCUGUGGUGUUCUUGAUCAAGCAACUCACCUUUGUUUCAGCAGACACCUCAUCCAGCAGCUGUGCUGGUUCUAGCAUCAACAACAUUUGAGAUCAAGGAUUCUGAUUCGAGACAGACGUCUCGACGUUGACUUCA